This 209-nucleotide ribosomal RNA is filed under the name uncultured bacterium. Its description in RNAcentral is "partial 16S ribosomal RNA". It matches the Rfam family "Bacterial small subunit ribosomal RNA", at positions 568 to 774 of the family's 1533-position model. The record is from RNAcentral.
CUCGUAGGUGGCCAACUAAGUCAGACGUGAAAUCCCUCAGCUUAACUGGGGAACUGCGUCUGAUACUGGAUGGCUUGAGUUUGGGAGAGGGAUGCGGAAUUCCAGGUGUAGCGGUGAAAUGCGUAGAUAUCUGGAGGAACACCGGUGGCGAAGGCGGCAUCCUGGACCAAUACUGACACUGAGGAGCGAAAAGCCAGGGGAAGCAAACG